GACGAACGCUGGCGGCGUGCUUAACACAUGCAAGUCGAACGGAAAGGCUCCUGCUUGCAGGGGUACUCGAGUGGCGAACGGGUGAGUAACACGUGGGUGAUCUGCCUUGUACUCUGGGAUAAGCUUGGGAAACUUGGUCUAAUACCGGAUAAUAACUGCCUUUAGUGUGGUGGUUGGAAAGUUUUUUCGGUGCAAGAUGAGCUCGCGGCCUAUCAGCUUGUUGGUGGGGUAAUGGCCUACCAAGGCGUCGACGGGUAGCCGGCCUGAGAGGGUGUACGGCCACAUUGGGACUGAGAUACGGCCCAGACUCCUACGGGAGGCAGCAGUGGGGAAUAUUGCACAAUGGGCGGAAGCCUGAUGCAGCGACGCCGCGUGGGGGAUGACGGCCUUCGGGUUGUAAACUCCUUUCGACAGGGACGAAGCUUUUUGUGACGGUACCUGUAGAAGAAGCACCGGCUAACUACGUG
RNAcentral lists this ribosomal RNA (467 nucleotides) under uncultured bacterium. Its description in RNAcentral is "partial 16S ribosomal RNA". It matches the Rfam family "Bacterial small subunit ribosomal RNA", at positions 28 to 507 of the family's 1533-position model. The record is from RNAcentral.